GCCCGAGUGGCGGAAUGGUAGACGCAGGGGAUUCAAAAUCCCCCGCCGCAAGGCGUGUGGGUUCGAAUCCCACCUCGGGCACCA
RNAcentral lists this transfer RNA (84 nucleotides) under Brevirhabdus pacifica. RNAcentral describes it as "tRNA-Leu". It matches the Rfam family "tRNA". From Rfam's summary of the family: Transfer RNA (tRNA) molecules are approximately 80 nucleotides in length. Their secondary structure includes four short double-helical elements and three loops (D, anti-codon, and T loops). RNAcentral also lists the same sequence under 1 other name. Lineage: Bacteria; Pseudomonadati; Pseudomonadota; Alphaproteobacteria; Rhodobacterales; Paracoccaceae. The record is from RNAcentral.